Molecule: long non-coding RNA, 266 nt
Organism: Haliotis rubra (blacklip abalone)
Lineage: Eukaryota; Metazoa; Mollusca; Gastropoda; Lepetellida; Haliotidae
Exons: 4
Source: RefSeq, a predicted model, not a curated record
AGGGGAUGCAAGGUGUUGCUCACCUGGACAUACAGCUAAGUAUGGAAGCUAUACAUUGAUCGAUGUGGACACACAUCAAGUUUUGGACAUCCAGUUGGUGCAGUCAAAUGAAGUGGCCAAUUCGAAUGCCAUGGAACUUGAAGGAUUGAAAAGGGGCCUUGCACAUCUUGAGAAUGCCAGAGUAUUUACAAGAAACUUCAAAAAGUAAGCAAGAAGAAAGGCCUGGAAAUAAUCAGCCUGUGGGCACACUCCAUUUCCAAUCAUAU